UUGAACGCUGGCGGAAUGCUUUACACAUGCAAGUCGAGCGGCAGCGCGGGGGCAACCCUGGCGGCGAGCGGCGAACGGGUGAGUAACAUAUCGGAACGUACCCUGUCGUGGGGGAUAACACAGCGAAAGCUGUGCUAAUACCGCAUACGACCUGAGGGUGAAAGCGGGGGAUCGCAAGACCUCGCGCGAUAGGAGCGGCCGAUAUCGGAUUAGCUAGUUGGUGGGGUAAAGGCCUACCAAGGCGACGAUCCGUAGCGGGUCUGAGAGGAUGAUCCGCCACACUGGGACUGAGACACGGCCCAGACUCCUACGGGAGGCAGCAGUGGGGAAUUUUGGACAAUGGGGGCAACCCUGAUCCAGCCAUGCCGCGUGAGUGAAGAAGGCCUUCGGGUUGUAAAGCUCUUUCAGACGGAAAGAAAACGCAUCGGUGAAUACCCGGUGUGGAUGACGGUACCGUAAGAAGAAGCACCGGCUAACUACGU
RNAcentral lists this ribosomal RNA (482 nucleotides) under uncultured bacterium. RNAcentral's name for it is "bacterial SSU rRNA". It matches the Rfam family "Bacterial small subunit ribosomal RNA", at positions 29 to 506 of the family's 1533-position model. The record is from RNAcentral.